Uranotaenia lowii is the source of this 472-nucleotide long non-coding RNA. RefSeq lists it as uncharacterized. Lineage: Eukaryota; Metazoa; Arthropoda; Insecta; Diptera; Culicidae. The record is from RefSeq and is a predicted model, not a curated record. The transcript has 3 exons.
CAAAGUAAAAGUUCAUUGUUUUAGAUGAAUUUUCUUUUGAACCAAAGUAAUUUUUCGUCAAACAGUCGACACAUCUUCAUUAUUAGCUUCUGUUAGGUGAACGGGUCGGCGAGAAGCUUUCCCGACAACCAGCCAGACCUAUUCAUUUUCUCCGGAAUCUUCCUGCCGCGCAACCACCAGACAGCACCGAAAUCACAAGACGUACCCGGCGUAGGAAAGUUUCGACAGCUUUGAUAGGACAAUCGACAGUGGACUCUUAGGGCAAUCAUUCAUCAAACUAAUUGGAAGAGGUAACUGUAUACCGACUGUUCCGGUCCUCCAACUAUGCGGUUGCAAUCGCUUCGGGCCGAUCCAAGAAGACUCAACAUCUAGCGCCGAAACCCUUCAUCAGUUGUUCGGGUGCAAACAAACAUCGUCCAAUGAACCGGUUCAAGAACUAUUAUCCUGUGGAAAAUCGAUAAUCUAAAUGAAG